AAAGCAGGUUAAUAUUCCUGCACUUUUCUUAAGUGCGAUGUGGGGACGGAGAAGGUUAGGUCUACCAGGCGUUGGUUGUCCUGGGGAAAGGAGGUAGGCGGUGAUCUUAGGCAAAUCCGGGAUCACUUACGCCGAGCACCGAGACGAGUCCUAUGAGGACGAAGUGACUGACACCACGCUUCCAGGAAAAGCCACUAAGCUUCAGCUUAAGAAAAACCGUACCGCAAACCGACACAGGUAGGCAGGGUGAGAAUCCCAAGGCGCUUGAGAGAACUCGGGUGAAGGAACUAGGAAAAAUGGCACCGUAACUUCGGGAGAAGGUGCGCCCUUUGGUGUGGUCACGUGCGUGACUGAGCAUCGAAGGGUCGCAGUAACCUGGCCGCUGCGACUGUUUAUCAAAAACACAGCACUCUGCAAACACGAAAGUGGACGUAUAGGGUGUGACGCCUGCCCGGUGCUGGAAGGUUAAUUGAUGGGGUCAGCCGCAAGGCGAAGCUCUUGAUCGAAGCCCCAGUAAACGGCGGCCGUAACAAUAACGGUCCUAAGGUAGCGAAAUUCCUUGUCGGGUAAGUUCCGACCUGCACGAAUGGCGUAACGACAGCGGCGCUGUCUCCACCCGAGACUCAGUGAAAUUGAAAUCGCUGUGAAGAUGCAGCGUUCCCGCGGCAAGACGGAAAGACCCCGUGAACCUUUACUAUAGCUUUACACUGAACGUUGAGUUCUUCUGUGUAGGAUAGGUGGGAGGCUAUGAAACCAGGACGCUAGUUCUGGUGGAGCCAUCCUUGAAAUACCACCCUGAAGUGCUUGACGUUCUAACCUAGGCCCGUAAUCCGGGUCAGGGACCGUGUAUGGUGGGUAGUUUGACUGGGGCGGUCUCCUCCCAAAGAGUAACGGAGGAGCACGAAGGUACGCUCAGCGCGGUCGGACAUCGCGCACUGUGUGCAAAGGCAUAAGCGUGCUUGACUGCGAGAUCGACGGAUCAAGCAGGUACGAAAGUAGGUCUUAGUGAUCCGGUGGUUCUGUAUGGAAGGGCCAUCGCUCAACGGAUAAAAGGUACUCCGGGGAUAACAGGCUGAUACCGCCCAAGAGUUCAUAUCGACGGCGGUGUUUGGCACCUCGAUGUCGGCUCAUCACAUCCUGGGGCUGUAGCCGGUCCCAAGGGUAUGGCUGUUCGCCAUUUAAAGUGGUACGCGAGCUGGGUUCAGAACGUCGUGAGACAGUUCGGUCCCUAUCUGUCGUGGGCGUUGGAGAUUUGAGGGGGGCUGCUCCUAGUACGAGAGGACCGGAGUGGACGUUCCGCUGGUGUUCGGGUUGUCAUGCCCAUGGCAUUGCCCGGUAGCUACGAACGGAAGUGAUAACCGCUGAAAGCAUCUAAGCGGGAAGCACGCCCCAAGAUGAGAUCUCCCGAGAGCUUGACUCUCCUAAAGGCACCAUCAAGACUAGGUGGUUGAUAGGUCAGGUGUGGAAGCGCAGCAAUGCGUUGAGCUAACUGUUACUAAUGAGCCGUGAGGCUUGACCAA
Molecule: ribosomal RNA, 1520 nt
Filed under: metagenome
Description: bacterial LSU rRNA
Rfam family: Bacterial large subunit ribosomal RNA
Source: RNAcentral